Molecule: ribosomal RNA, 441 nt
Filed under: uncultured bacterium
Lineage: Bacteria
Description: partial 16S ribosomal RNA
Rfam family: Bacterial small subunit ribosomal RNA
Source: RNAcentral
CCUACGGGAGGCAGCAGUGGGGGAUAUUGCACAAUGGGGGAAACCCUGAUGCAGCGACGCCGCGUGGGUGAAGAAGUAUUUCGGUAUGUACAGCCCUAUCAGCAGGGAAGAAAGAAGACGGUACCUGACUAAGAAGCCCCGGCUAACUACGUGCCAGCAGCCGCGGUAAUACGUAGGGGGCGAGCGUUAUCCGGAUUCACUGGGUGUAAAGGGAGCGUAGACGGCCGUGCAAGCCAGGAGUGAAAGCCCGGGGCCCAACCCCGGGACUGCUCUUGGAGCUGUGCGGCUGGAGUGCGGGAGGGGCAGGCGGAAGUCCUGGUGUAGCGGUGAAAUGCGUAGAUAUCAGGAGGAACACCGGCGGCGAAGGCGGCCUGCUGGACCGCGACUGACGUUGAGGCUCGAAAGCGUGGGGAGCGAACAGGAUUAGAUACCCCGGUAGUC